This 85-nucleotide transfer RNA is filed under the name Felis catus (domestic cat). It matches the Rfam family "tRNA". From Rfam's summary of the family: Transfer RNA (tRNA) molecules are approximately 80 nucleotides in length. Their secondary structure includes four short double-helical elements and three loops (D, anti-codon, and T loops). The record is from Rfam by way of RNAcentral. Lineage: Eukaryota; Metazoa; Chordata; Mammalia; Carnivora; Felidae.
GCCUGGGUGGCUCAGUCGGUUGAGCAUCUGACUUUGGCUCAGGUCAUGAUCUCACGGUUCAUGGGUUCAAGCCCCACAUCUGGCU